AGUGAACGCUGGCGGUAGGCCUAACACAUGCAAGUCGAACGGCAGCACAGUAAGAGCUUGCUCUUACGGGUGGCGAGUGGCGGACGGGUGAGGAAUACAUCGGAAUCUACUUUUUCGUGGGGGAUAACGUAGGGAAACUUACGCUAAUACCGCAUACGACCUACGGGUGAAAGCAGGGGAUCUUCGGACCUUGCGCGAUUGAAUGAGCCGAUGUCGGAUUAGCUAGUUGGCGGGGUAAAGGCCCACCAAGGCGACGAUCCGUAGCUGGUCUGAGAGGAUGAUCAGCCACACUGGAACUUAGACACGGUCCAGACUCCUACGGGAGGCAGCAGUGGGGAAUAUUGGACAAUGGGCGCAAGCCUUAUCCAGCCAUACCGCGUGGGUGAAGAAGGCCUUCGGGUUGUAAAGCCCUUUUGUUGGGAAAGAAAAGCAGCAGGUUAAUACCCCGCUGUUCUGACGGUACCCAAAGAAUAAGCACCGGCUAACUUCGUG
RNAcentral lists this ribosomal RNA (492 nucleotides) under uncultured bacterium. Its description in RNAcentral is "partial 16S ribosomal RNA". It matches the Rfam family "Bacterial small subunit ribosomal RNA", at positions 29 to 507 of the family's 1533-position model. The record is from RNAcentral.